UUACUUCCAUAAUUGAUGUAAGAGAUAUAUGAGAUUUCUAUUCUUAGAGUAUUAAUAAGCUUGUGAAAAUCAACAAUGGUUGUAAAUCUUUUCUCACUUCUUCUGAGAGUAGCAUCCAUAAUUUUUCCUUCUAUAGAAAACUCAAAUAAAUCUACAAGUCUAAUUUAAGGAGAAUAAUCUACAAUCUUUAAUGUCAAAUAAAAACUUUCAUGAAGGAGAGGUAGUCCACUAUCUUUAAGAAAAAAAUCAAUGUUUAGAAACUAAAAUAUUAGUUUUAAGAUAGGUAGUGAGCAACCUUCAAAAUAUAAUAAUAGAAGUGGAAUAAUUCAACCACUUUUACAACAAAACAAGAACAAUAAAUUAAUACUCUUGCCAAAUUAUCAAAGACAUGAAUCUCAAAGAAUAAAAAGAUCAAUACACUCUUAAAUCACUCAAAAAGACUAAAAAAUUACUCAAAGAUGGUAUAAUAUUAAAUUAGAAUAAUUAUUGCUAAAGAUAAGAAGAUUAGCAAGUCUUGAAAUAAGACUAAAAACUAGAAAGGCAUUAACAAGUCUAAAGAAGACUUCAUUCUUACCUCCAUAUU
Molecule: long non-coding RNA, 583 nt
Filed under: Physcomitrium patens
Lineage: Eukaryota; Viridiplantae; Streptophyta; Bryopsida; Funariales; Funariaceae
Description: long non-coding RNA (PPAT_LNC010087)
Source: RNAcentral